ACUAAUUCUAGCCCUAACACAAAUAAAUAUAACUAUAAUUUUACAUAAACUAAAACAUUUAUUCUAAUAAAAGUAUUGGAGAAAGAAAUUAUUCUCAGGAGCUAUAGAACUAGUACCGCAAGGGAAAGAUGAAAGAUCAAUUAAAAGUAAUACUAAGCAAAGAUAUGACCUUGUACCUUUUGCAUAAUGAGUUAACUAGAAAUACCCUAGCUAAAUGAAUUACAGCUAGCUACCCCGAAACCAAACGAGCUACCUAAAAACAAUUUUUAGAAUUAACCCGUCUAUGUGGCAAAAUAGUGGGAAGAGUUUUAGGUAGGGGUGAAAAGCCUAACGAGCUUGGUGAUAGCUGGUUACCCAAGAAAUGAAUUUCAGUUCAACUUUAAGCUUACCACAAGAAUAUGAAAAUCUAAAUGUAAACUUAAAUUAUAGCCAAAAGAGGGACAGCUCUUUAGGAAUGGAAAAAACCUUAAAUAGUGAAUAAAUAAACUAUCCAUUUAACCAUUGUAGGCCUAAAAGCAGCCAUCAAUAAAGAAAGCGUUCAAGCUCAACAUUAAAAUUGACUAAUUCAACUAAUUACUAUAAAUUCCUAUAUCAAAAUUGGGUCAAUCUAUUAUAUCAUAGAUGAGAUACUGUUAACAUGAGUAACAAGAAUAAUUUCUCCAAGCACAAGCGUAUAACAACUCGGAUUCCCAUUGUUAGUUAAAGGACUCUAGAUAAUAAUCUCAAACUGAAACAUCUAAAAUUUUACCAUUAACCCAACACAGGAGUGCUAUAAGGAAAGAUAAAAAAGAAUAAAAGGAACUCGGCAAACAUAAACCCCGCCUGUUUACCAAAAACAUCACCUCUAGCAUUACAAGUAUUAGAGGCAAUGCCUGCCCAGUGACUAAAGUUAAACGGCCGCGGUAUCCUGACCGUGCAAAGGUAGCAUAAUCACUUGUUCCUUAAUUAGGGACUAGCAUGAACGGCUAAACGAGGGUUUAACUGUCUCUUAUUCUCAAUCAGUGAAAUUGACCUUCCAGUGAAGAGGCUGGAAUAUUAUAAUAAGACGAGAAGACCCUAUGGAGCUUUAAUCAAUUAGCUUAAUUACUAAAACAAACUAAUCUAUUGACCUAAAAAUGAAAUUAUAAGCUAAAAAUUUUGGUUGGGGUGACCUCGGAGAAUAAAAAAUCCUCCGAAUGAUUCUAGCACAGACCAACAAGUCAAAGCAACCUUACUGAUCUUAUUGACCCAAAAAUCUUUUGAUCAACGGACCAAGUUACCCUAGGGAUAACAGCGCAAUCCUAUUUAAGAGUCCAUAUCGACAAUUAGGGUUUACGACCUCGAUGUUGGAUCAGGACAUCCCAAUGGUGCAGAAGCUAUUAAUGGUUCGUUUGUUCAACGAUUAAAGUCCUACGUGAUCUGAGUUCAGACCGGAGUAAUCCAGGUCGGUUUCUAUCUAUUUACAAUUUCUCCCAGUACGAAAGGACAAGAGAAAUAGAGCCAACUUUACAAAAGCGCUCUCAACCCAAUCUAUGAAAAAAAUCUCAAUACAGUUGGUAUGUAAAAAUCAAAAUCUAGACAAGAUA
This 1565-nucleotide ribosomal RNA is filed under the name Oenomys hypoxanthus (rufous-nosed rat). Its description in RNAcentral is "16S ribosomal RNA". It matches the Rfam family "Bacterial large subunit ribosomal RNA". The record is from RNAcentral. Lineage: Eukaryota; Metazoa; Chordata; Mammalia; Rodentia; Muridae.